UGGGGAAUAUUGGACAAUGGGCGAAAGCCUGAUCCAGCCAUGCCGCGUGUGUGAAGAAGGUCUUCGGAUUGUAAGCACUUUAAGUUGGGAGGAAGGGCAGUAAGUUAAUACCUUGCUGUUUUGACGUUACCGACAGAAUAAGCACCGGCUAACUCUGUGCCGG
RNAcentral lists this ribosomal RNA (163 nucleotides) under uncultured bacterium. RNAcentral describes it as "partial 16S ribosomal RNA". It matches the Rfam family "Bacterial small subunit ribosomal RNA", at positions 355 to 511 of the family's 1533-position model. The record is from RNAcentral.